UGGGGAACCUGCCCCAUAGUCUGGGAUACCACUUGGAAACAGGUGCUAAUACCGGAUAAGAAAGCAGAUCGCAUGAUCAGCUUUUAAAAGGCGGCGUAAGCUGUCGCUAUGGGAUGGCCCCGCGGUGCAUUAGUUAGUUGGUAAGGUAAAGGCUUACCAAGGCGAUGAUGCAUAGCCGAGUUGAGAGACUGAUCGGCCACAUUGGGACUGAGACACGGCCCAAACUCCUACGGGAGGCAGCAGCC
RNAcentral lists this ribosomal RNA (245 nucleotides) under uncultured Lactobacillus sp. RNAcentral describes it as "partial 16S ribosomal RNA". It matches the Rfam family "Bacterial small subunit ribosomal RNA", at positions 118 to 355 of the family's 1533-position model. Lineage: Bacteria; Bacillati; Bacillota; Bacilli; Lactobacillales; Lactobacillaceae. The record is from RNAcentral.